AUUGAACGCUGGCGGCAUGCCUUACACAUGCAAGUCGAACGGCAGCACGGACUUCGGUCUGGUGGCGAGUGGCGAACGGGUGAGUAAUGUAUCGGAACGUACCUUUCAGUGGGGGAUAACGUAGCGAAAGUUACGCUAAUACCGCAUAUUCUGUGCGCAGGAAAGCAGGGGAUCGCAAGACUUUGCGCUGAUUGAGCGGCCGAUAUCAGAUUAACUAGUUGGUGAGGUAAAGGCUCACCAAGGCGACGAUCUGUAGCGGGUCUGAGAGGAUGAUCCGCCACACUGGAACUGAGACACGGUCCAGACUCCUACGGGAGGCAGCAGUGGGGAAUUUUGGACAAUGGGGGCAACCCUGAUCCAGCCAUGCCGCGUGAGUGAAGAAGGCCUCGGUU
RNAcentral lists this ribosomal RNA (392 nucleotides) under uncultured bacterium. RNAcentral's name for it is "bacterial SSU rRNA". It matches the Rfam family "Bacterial small subunit ribosomal RNA", at positions 30 to 424 of the family's 1533-position model. The record is from RNAcentral.